Molecule: ribosomal RNA, 269 nt
Filed under: uncultured bacterium
Lineage: Bacteria
Description: partial 16S ribosomal RNA
Rfam family: Bacterial small subunit ribosomal RNA
Source: RNAcentral
UACGUAGGGGGCAAGCGUUGUCCGGAUUUAUUGGGCGUAAAGAGCGUGUAGGCGGCCAGAAAGGUCCGUUGUGAAAACUCGAGGCUCAACCUCGAGACGCCGAUGGAAACCAUCUGGCUAGAGUCCGGAAGAGGAGAGUGGAAUUCCCGGUGUAGAGGUGAAAUUCGUAGAUAUUCGCAAGAACACCAGUGGCGAAGGCGGCUCACUGGCCCGGUACUGACGCUGAGGUGCGAAAGCGUGGGAGCAAACAGGAUUAGAAACCCUGAGUA